UGCGUAGGCGGCGCUAUAAGUCAGAGGUGAAAGGCCACAGCUUAACUGUGGGACUGCCUUUGAUACUGUAGUGCUUGAAUUAGGUUGAGGUCGGCGGAAUGUGACAUGUAGCGGUGAAAUGCUUAGAUAUGUCAUAGAACACCAAUUGCGAAGGCAGCUGACUAGACCUUAAUUGACGCUGAGGCACGAAAGCGUGGGGAGCGAACAGGAUUAGAUACCCUGGUAGUC
RNAcentral lists this ribosomal RNA (228 nucleotides) under uncultured bacterium. RNAcentral describes it as "partial 16S ribosomal RNA". It matches the Rfam family "Bacterial small subunit ribosomal RNA", at positions 568 to 795 of the family's 1533-position model. The record is from RNAcentral.